Long non-coding RNA from Brassica oleracea var. oleracea, 912 nucleotides. RefSeq lists it as uncharacterized. The record is from RefSeq and is a predicted model, not a curated record. The transcript has 3 exons. Lineage: Eukaryota; Viridiplantae; Streptophyta; Magnoliopsida; Brassicales; Brassicaceae.
UACAAUUUGUGGCCAUUGAUUGUUUUUGAUAUUGUGGCAUAAGAUCAAUCUACUCUCUCUCUCUCUCUCUCUCGAUUCAAUCCUUGAAUCGUGAAAUCGAAAAUCACACAGUCUUCAGAUCUACACACAGAGCUUGACUGGAUUCAACCCCUUGUCUCUCUAUCUGUAUCUCUCUCACUCGGCCAUGAUGAAAGCUUCGACAAGGCUUGACUCUAGUCAGACGGCUGUCCUUCAUAAGCAGAGGAGAAGAAGAGGCUCGCCGGAGAUGAAUAAAAGGAAAGUCUCGGCCUCUCUUUGCCAUGAAGGUGGGUCGUGAGCAGAGUUGGUUGUCGUGAGCUUGAAGGCGGCGGUGACAAGUCGGGGCAAGGCGGCGGCGGCAGCGAAUCCCUCGUUUCUGGGACUAUUGAUUCAGUUGCUCCAAGAGAGCUGAUGCAACUGCAGAUUUGAGUGGUGCUAUUGAGGCAGGAAACAAGGAGGACUCUGAGAAGUACAGCAAACGAACUGUGAUGGUAGUACUCUUAGUUAUUAUAUCAUCCACUUCAGAGCAGCUCGAUGACAAUCGCAUAACAAUCUUCACUCUGCGAUUGCUGUAACAGACUCAGAGUUUCUCUUUCAGCAGCUUCAUUCUACUCCUUUCUUCUCAGACGGCAGGUCUUGGGAGUCUCAGUUUGGUGAUUUCUUCUUUGAAUUGGUGUUCGUCUCUUCUCACCUCUCAUGCGGACACUGGAGGGUCUCUUUGUGGGAAGUUACCUCUCUUGCCGAGAUUCCAGCGAUCUUAGGAUUGUUUUGUAGGUUGAAGAUGAAGUCCCUAAACUUAGCAAUUGUUUUGGUUUGUGUAGCUGUUCAAUUGUUGUGUGUUUGAGUGUAAGAUUAAAAGAUAAAAAUGAUAAUCAAAGUUUUGAUAUGAAAUAU